Molecule: ribosomal RNA, 430 nt
Filed under: uncultured bacterium
Lineage: Bacteria
Description: bacterial SSU rRNA
Rfam family: Bacterial small subunit ribosomal RNA
Source: RNAcentral
UGGGGAAUAUUGGGCAAUGGGCGCAAGCCUGACCCAGCCAUGCCGCGUGAGUGAUGAAGGCCUUCGGGUCGUAAAGCUCUGUGGGGAGGGACGAACAGCCCGGCGGUUAAUACCCGCAGGGUCUGACGGUACCUCCUUAGCAAGCACCGGCUAACUCCGUGCCAGCAGCCGCGGUAAUACGGGGGGUGCAAACGUUGCUCGGAAUUAUUGGGCGUAAAGCGCACGUAGGCGGUCCUGUAAGUCGGGUGUGAAAGCCCCAGGCUUAACCUGGGAAGUGCACUCGAAACUGUAGGGCUUGAGUAUGGAAGAGGGUCUCGGAAUUCCCGGUGUAGAGGUGAAAUUCGUAGAUAUCGGGAGGAACACCAGUGGCGAAGGCGGAGACCUGGGCCAAUACUGACGCUGAGGUGCGAAAGCGUGGGGAGCAAACAGG